Molecule: ribosomal RNA, 485 nt
Filed under: uncultured bacterium
Lineage: Bacteria
Description: bacterial SSU rRNA
Rfam family: Bacterial small subunit ribosomal RNA
Source: RNAcentral
AGAGUUUGAUCCUGGCUCAGGACGAACGCUGGCGGCGUGCUUAACACAUGCAAGUCGAACGGAAAGGCCCCCUUGUGGGGUACUCGAGUGGCGAACGGGUGAGUAACACGUGAGUAACCUACCCUUGACUUUGGGAUAACUUCAGGAAACUGGGGCUAAUACCGGAUAGGAGCUCCUGCUGCAUGGUGGGGGUUGGAAAGUUUCGGCGGUUGGGGAUGGACUCGUGGCUUAUCAGCUUGUUGGUGGGGUAGUGGCUCACCAAGGCUUUGACGGGUAGCCGGCCUGAGAGGGUGACCGGCCACAUUGGGACUGAGAUACGGCCCAGACUCCUACGGGAGGCAGCAGUGGGGAAUAUUGCACAAUGGGCGGAAGCCUGAUGCAGCAACGCCGCGUGCGGGAUGACGGCCUUCGGGUUGUAAACCGCUUUCGCCUGUGACGAAGCGUGAGUGACGGUAAUGGGUAAAGAAGCACCGGCUAACUACGUG